RNAcentral lists this ribosomal RNA (373 nucleotides) under uncultured organism. Its description in RNAcentral is "partial 16S ribosomal RNA". It matches the Rfam family "Bacterial small subunit ribosomal RNA", at positions 527 to 896 of the family's 1533-position model. The record is from RNAcentral.
GUAGGUGGCAAGCGUUGUCCGGAAUUAUUGGGCGUAAAGCGCGCGCAGGCGGUUCUUUAAGUCUGAUGUGAAAGCCCACGGCUCAACCGUGGAGGGUCAUUGGAAACUGGAGAACUUGAGUACAGAAGAGGAAAGCGGAAUUCCACGUGUAGCGGUGAAAUGCGUAGAGAUGUGGAGGAACACCAGUGGCGAAGGCGGCUUUCUGGUCUGUAACUGACGCUGAGGCGCGAAAGCGUGGGGAGCAAACAGGAUUAGAUACCCUGGUAGUCCACGCCGUAAACGAUGAGUGCUAAGUGUUAGGGGGGUUUCCGCCCCCCUUAGUACUGCAGCUAACGCAUUAAGCACUCCGCCUGGGGAUACGGCCGCAAGGCUG